UUCACAUCUGUGAUCUUCUUCGAAGCCAAUUUUUACAGAUUUUACAGAAGCUGCUGGUAGAAAAUAAUUCUAGCAGUUUGCAAGCUAACCAAACCUUGUGCCACAUCUUGAACCUCCUCUUUCUGGUGCAAUUGAGGCACACAAUGCAGAGAGAACUAGAUAACACAGAUUUCAGGCUGCUUCAUUUAGUUAGUAAUGUGUCUGGAAAAUGCAGUCCAGCAGACCAUGAAAUUCUACAGCCUUCUCUAAAU
Molecule: long non-coding RNA, 251 nt
Filed under: Salvator merianae (Argentine black and white tegu)
Lineage: Eukaryota; Metazoa; Chordata; Lepidosauria; Squamata; Teiidae
Description: lncRNA (ENSSMRG00000014774.1)
Source: RNAcentral